Molecule: ribosomal RNA, 497 nt
Filed under: uncultured bacterium
Lineage: Bacteria
Description: partial 16S ribosomal RNA
Rfam family: Bacterial small subunit ribosomal RNA
Source: RNAcentral
GACGAACGCUGGCGGCGUGCUUAACACAUGCAAGUCGAACGGUAAAGCGCCUUUCGUUUUGGUGGGUGGGGGUGGGUGGGGAAGGGGCGAGUAAGACGUGAGCAACCUGGCCCGUGCUUCUGGUUAACCGCAGGAAAGUGUGGCUAAUACGGCCGAUCCUGUGUGUGUGGCAUGAGGGGUGUGGGAAAGGUUUUGUUUCAGGGGGGGAUGGGCGCGCGUCCGUUUAGCUGGUUGGUGGGGUGACGGCCGACCAAGGCGGGGAUGGGUAGCCGGCCUGAGAGGGUGGUCGGCGGCAAUGGGGCUGAGGUGCGGCCCCGAAGACUACGGGAGGCAGCAGUUGAGAAGAUUCCGGAAUGGUGGGAAGUCUGAUGGAGCGGCGACGCGUGGAUGGAGAUGGCCGCCUGGGGGUAGUAACCUUCUUUGGCUGGUGAAGCAGGACAGCAGGGUAUGUGGGUGGGGUGACGGUAGCUGGAGAAGAAGCACCGGCUAACUACGUG